UGGCACUGUCUUUGAACCUUUGAAGCCCUCCUCAUGGCUCCAUAGGCCAAGCAACAGUGCAAAAUUAAAGGCUUGUUAUAACUGGGGCUUCUUGGCAUCACAGCCCAAGUUGCUCUUUUAAAUGCAAGCUACAAUU
Ictalurus punctatus (channel catfish) is the source of this 136-nucleotide small nucleolar RNA. Lineage: Eukaryota; Metazoa; Chordata; Actinopteri; Siluriformes; Ictaluridae. The record is from Ensembl.